RNAcentral lists this transfer RNA (118 nucleotides) under Anopheles christyi. Its description in RNAcentral is "tRNA tRNA-Tyr". It matches the Rfam family "tRNA". Rfam says of the family: Transfer RNA (tRNA) molecules are approximately 80 nucleotides in length. Their secondary structure includes four short double-helical elements and three loops (D, anti-codon, and T loops). Further hydrogen bonds mediate the characteristic L-shaped molecular structure. tRNAs have two regions of fundamental functional importance: the anti-codon, which is responsible for specific mRNA codon recognition, and the 3' end, to which the tRNAs corresponding amino acid is attached (by aminoacyl-tRNA synthetases). tRNAs cope with the degeneracy of the genetic code in two manners: having more than one tRNA (with a specific anti-codon) for a particular amino acid; and 'wobble' base-pairing, i.e. permitting non-standard base-pairing at the 3rd anti-codon position. The record is from RNAcentral. Lineage: Eukaryota; Metazoa; Arthropoda; Insecta; Diptera; Culicidae.
CCUUCGAUAGCUCAGUUGGUAGAGCGGUGGACUGUAGCAGUAUAGCACUUGUGAGUGUGAGUACACUCGUGUGCAACCAGUCAUCCAUAGGUCACUGGUUCAAAUCCGGUUCGAAGGA